This 427-nucleotide ribosomal RNA is filed under the name uncultured Solirubrobacter sp. RNAcentral's name for it is "partial 16S ribosomal RNA". It matches the Rfam family "Bacterial small subunit ribosomal RNA", at positions 355 to 774 of the family's 1533-position model. Lineage: Bacteria; Bacillati; Actinomycetota; Thermoleophilia; Solirubrobacterales; Solirubrobacteraceae. The record is from RNAcentral.
UGGGGAAUCUUGCGCAAUGCGCGAAAGCGUGACGCAGCAACGCCGCGUGGGGGAAGAAGGCCUUCGGGUUGUAAACCCCUUUCAGUUGGGACGAAGCUUCGCCGGUGAAUAGCCGGCCGGAGUGACGGUACCUUCACAAGAAGCCCCGGCUAACUACGUGCCAGCAGCCGCGGUAAUACGUAGGGGGCUAGCGUUGUCCGGAAUCAUUGGGCGUAAAGAGCGUGUAGGCGGCCCGGUAAGUCCGCUGUGAAAGUCGGGGGCUCAACCCUCGAAAGCCGGUGGAUACUGUCGGGCUAGAGUGCGGAAGAGGCGAGUGGAAUUCCUGGUGUAGCGGUGAAAUGCGCAGAUAUCAGGAGGAACACCGAUUGCGAAGGCAGCUCGCUGGGACGUAACUGACGCUGAGACGCGAAAGCGUGGGGAGCAAACA